UACGUAGGGUGCGAGCGUUGUCCGGAAUUAUUGGGCGUAAAGAGCUCGUAGGCGGUCUGUCGCGUCGAUCGUGAAAACUUGGGGCUUAACCCUGAGCUUGCGGUCGAUACGGGCAUGACUGGAGUUCGGCAGGGGAGACUGGAAUUCCUGGUGUAGCGGUGAAAUGCGCAGAUAUCAGGAGGAACACCGGUGGCGAAGGCGGGUCUCUGGGCCGAUACUGACACUGAGAGACGAAAGCUAGGGGAGCAAAUGGG
This 254-nucleotide ribosomal RNA is filed under the name uncultured bacterium. Its description in RNAcentral is "partial 16S ribosomal RNA". It matches the Rfam family "Bacterial small subunit ribosomal RNA", at positions 524 to 776 of the family's 1533-position model. The record is from RNAcentral.